RNAcentral lists this ribosomal RNA (333 nucleotides) under uncultured Anaerolineaceae bacterium. RNAcentral describes it as "bacterial SSU rRNA". It matches the Rfam family "Bacterial small subunit ribosomal RNA", at positions 1035 to 1382 of the family's 1533-position model. The record is from RNAcentral. Lineage: Bacteria; Bacillati; Chloroflexota; Anaerolineae; Anaerolineales; Anaerolineaceae.
CAGGUGCUGCAUGGCUGUCGUCAGCUCGUGUCGUGAGAUGUCGGUUAAGUCCGCUAACGAGCGCAACCCUCGCUGUGUGUUACAAGUGUCACACGGAACUGCCGGUCAUAAACCGGAGGAAGUGGGGAUGACGUCAAGUCAGCAUGGCCUUUAUAUCCUGGGCUACACACACGCUACAAUGGGAAGGGACAAUAGGUUGCGAAGCCGCGAGGCGGAGCCAAUCCAGCAAAACUUCCCUCAGUUCAGAUUGCAGGCUGCAACUCGCCUGCAUGAAGUUGGAGUUGCUAGUAAACGCAGGUCAGCCAUACUGCGUUGAAUACGUUCCCGGGGCUU